GGAGAGAUGGCUGAGUGGUCGAAAGCACCGGUCUUGAAAACCGACGUAGGUUAAUAGCUUACCCAGGGUUCGAAUCCCUGUCUCUCCGCCA
RNAcentral lists this transfer RNA (91 nucleotides) under Vibrio aestuarianus. RNAcentral describes it as "tRNA-Ser". It matches the Rfam family "tRNA". From Rfam's summary of the family: Transfer RNA (tRNA) molecules are approximately 80 nucleotides in length. Their secondary structure includes four short double-helical elements and three loops (D, anti-codon, and T loops). Lineage: Bacteria; Pseudomonadati; Pseudomonadota; Gammaproteobacteria; Vibrionales; Vibrionaceae. The record is from RNAcentral.